This is a long non-coding RNA of Anguilla rostrata (American eel), 1838 nucleotides long. RefSeq lists it as uncharacterized. The transcript has 2 exons. Lineage: Eukaryota; Metazoa; Chordata; Actinopteri; Anguilliformes; Anguillidae. The record is from RefSeq and is a predicted model, not a curated record.
UUGCACAUGUAGACGAUUAGCCUACUCUAGUGCGCUACUUGCACAUUGCCAACCUGCAGACGCAGUAAGCCCAUCACCUGUUUUUAUUGCUAGAUUUUGAGAAAAAGUUUUUAGCGAUGAAACAACAAUGGAAUCAGCGAUGGAAGUUGAGACCUGUCCGUCCACAAGCGCACAGCACUCUAUCAUUCACGUCUGCUUGUUUCUCAAACUUCCCCACGGUUCGCUAUGAGCUGGAGCUUCCGGACGACGUGAGGCAAUUCUUAAAGGGACAGAUCUUCGGGCCAAAGGGUUCAGGCGCCACCAGCAGGCCCAACGUUAUAGCAACACAUCCCAAAAGCCAACAACGGAUUUCAAUUUGCGUUUUUCAAUGUUGAUUGCUGUUGUUGUUAUUGUUGUUCUUCUUCUUCUACUACUUUUUUGUAUUUGUUACAUAAUACUUAAUCUGUGUAUUGUCAGUUUAAAUCCCAGUAGGAGAAAUGCCCUAUUGUAUGCCUGAGUCAGGUACUUCACCUGAAUUUAUCCCGAAAUAUAAAUUUGGAUAUUCUCCAGUAUGAAGUUCGCUGCUCAGAUGUGAAACUGUGCCUUGCUGUGAACACGACUUUCUGCCCCUGUGCAAGGCUACACAUCUUGUCCUUAUUAUUGUUAUUAAUUGUAUCAGUGUUCCAAAGGUAUAUUUUAAUAUCUAAGAAUGCAAACUAAACUGCCCACUGAUGCUUUCUUUAGGGCUGAGUUGCCUACUCCUGACCCAGUCUGUUUACGUCUGCAGUCCACCCGUGUGACGUGUCCUGAACACACCUUACCUAAGCAUCCACGGCAGCAUGUGGCACAGAAGGAGGCCCAACACAGGCUGUGGGAACAUUUCAGAUGGAUCCCUGUAAUAUUUAUUAACAAGACCAAGCUUGUUGCCUUACACUCACAGGGAACAUAACAAGAGUACAAGGAGGCACUGAAUUGCACCAUCUGGGGACUAGGCCCCUAACCAGAUGGUUGCAGGUUCACACAUGGGGCUAUGUUCUUGUAAACCUGAGCAGGGUACUGUACUUUAGUUAUGUUUGUAAACAGAUAAAUUGUUCUCCGGAUACACAAGUACCUGCCUUUUGUUGCCCCAAGUGCUCCAUGCCCCUUUGGUUAGAUUCUUUUAAAUUUGAUUUGUAUUAUUAUUGUUGCUGUUAUUAAUUUUAGAGCAUAUGCCAUGGUAAAGUUUGGUAAAAUAUAUUUUGUACAAUAACUGGGUGUCAUAACAGUUUGGUGUGCCCUUUUCUCGCUUUGAGCCGCUGUCCUCGAAAGGUCUCUUCACGGCCGUUGUCAUUACAGCACUGUGAAAUGCAGCUCUAUGAAAAUGAACCUUGUUUGCCCUGCCGUGGGGUAGUGGAGCAUUCUCUGGACAAGCUUUUACAGUCAUUACUGAGUCGCAUUUCUUCCAUUGCUUGGAACACAGCUUGUUAAUUUCACUGCAUUUUGAAGUUGGAAAUCAUAUUUUUGCGUCUCCUGAUGUCAUAUGAUGCUGCACCAGGGCAGUGUUUCUUCUUGGCAGAGGUGAACAGAAGCCUGUUACCAGGGACAACAAGCGAGUGGUAAACAAAUAGCUGCCAUUAUGUGGCUGUCACCAUGAUGGUGUCAUUUUGAAUUUAGCUCUGAGGGUACAGAAAGGCAAAGGGAAACCUCCUUAUUUCAUAGUAUGUUUCUCCCCUCCUCCAGAGGUUUCAUCCCUCUACAAUGAACACAAGUCUUUAUUGACAAGGGACAUGUAUUACAUUUGAAAGUAAAAUAACAUUUAAAGUAAUGGCUUCCAAUUUCCAUAUCACAUGGUUUUUUCACACUCUUUAGGCAGCACGAAA